This 255-nucleotide ribosomal RNA is filed under the name Clostridioides difficile. RNAcentral describes it as "partial 23S ribosomal RNA". It matches the Rfam family "Bacterial large subunit ribosomal RNA", at positions 2157 to 2410 of the family's 2925-position model. Lineage: Bacteria; Bacillati; Bacillota; Clostridia; Peptostreptococcales; Peptostreptococcaceae. The record is from RNAcentral.
UUGAAACCAGGACGCCAGUUUUGGCGGAGCCAUCCUUGGGAUACCACCCUUGUAGUACUGGGACUCUAACCAUAGGCCAUGAAUCUGGUCUUGGGACACUGUCAGGUGGGCAGUUUGACUGGGGCGGGCGCCUCCCAAAAGGUAACGGAGGCGCUCAAAGGUUCUCUCAGUACGGUCGGAAAUCGUACGUAGAGUGUAAAGGCAAAAGAGAGCUUGAUUGCAAGACAUACAGGUCGAGCAAGGAUGAAAAUCGGA